UCGGGAAUUUUGGGCAAUGGGCGAAAGCCUGACCCAGCAACGCCGCGUGAAGGAUGAAAUCCCUCGGGAUGUAAACUUCGCAAGAACGGGAAGAAUAAGUAAGGGUUAAUAUCUCUUACGAUGACGGUACCGUUUGUAAGCUCCGGCUAACUCCGUGCCAGCAGCCGCGGUAAUACGGGGGGAGCAAGCGUUGUUCGGAUUUACUGGGCGUAAAGGGCGCGUAGGCGGCCAGCACAAGUCAGUUGUGAAAUCUCCGAGCUUAACUCGGAAAGGUCAACUGAUACUGUGCGGCUGGAGUGCAGAAGGGGCAACUGGAAUUCUCGGUGUAGCGGUGAAAUGCGUAGAUAUCGAGAGGAACACCUGCGGCGAAGGCGGGUUGCUGGGCUGACACUGACGCUGAGGCGCGAAAGCUAGGGGAGCGAACGGGAUUAGAUACCCCGGUAGUCCUAGCCUUAAACGAUGAAUGCUUGGUGUCUGGGGUUAUAUAGUCCCCGGGUGCCGUCGCUAACGCUUUAAGCAUUCCGCCUGGGGAGUACGGUCGCAAGACUGA
Molecule: ribosomal RNA, 550 nt
Filed under: uncultured Acidobacteriota bacterium
Lineage: Bacteria; Pseudomonadati; Acidobacteriota
Description: bacterial SSU rRNA
Rfam family: Bacterial small subunit ribosomal RNA
Source: RNAcentral